Molecule: unclassified non-coding RNA, 325 nt
Filed under: soil metagenome
Description: partial contains 5.8S ribosomal RNA, internal transcribed spacer 2, and large subunit ribosomal RNA
Rfam family: 5.8S ribosomal RNA (bases 1-119)
Source: RNAcentral
GAUGAAAACGUAGCGAAAUGCGAUAAGUAAUGUGAAUUGCAGAAUUCAGUGAAUCAUCGAAUCUUUGAACGCACAUUGCGCCCCUUGGUAUUCCGAGGGGCAUGCCUGUUCGAGCGUCAUAUUAACCACUCCCGCUUGCGGGGUCUUGGGCUUCGCCUCCGGGCGGGCCUUAAAAUCAGUGGCGGUGCCGUCGGGCUCUACGCGUAGUAAAUUUUCUCGCGAUAGGGUCCCGGUGGAUGCUUGCCAACAACCCCCAACUUCUUAAGGUUGACCUCGGAUCAGGUAGGGAUACCCGCUGAACUUAAGCAUAUCAAUAAGCGGAGGA